UCGGGGGCUGGUACUGCAGAACGUGUAGGUGCAUGAGUGGUGUUUUGCUUGUGUUGGUUGGUUGGAUCCUUGCUCUGGCAACGACGUCCAUCCUCGCAUGCAUCUUCAGUCGGGUCUCGUGAUACCUGUUAUCUCGAGCUAUGAAUCGGUUUCCUGUGUUGCGUACCUCUAAAGAUGGCAAUCGGUAGUCCCAACGUCCCACUUCGCCUUGCGUUGUCCCUUUCCGGGGCGACGCGGGGUGAACCAUGAAGUAAUCUCUGCGUCCCACUCCACGCACAUUAGGUUNUGGUUGUGGAUUGGUCCGCAGGGCAUUCGCUUGAGCUCUCGGAUGCGGUGCAUUAUACGCGGGCACGAGGACUCACGUCCUCUAUUUGCCCGAACAAAAGCUUUCAUCG
This 395-nucleotide unclassified non-coding RNA is filed under the name Plagiobothrys plurisepalus. Its description in RNAcentral is "partial external transcribed spacer". The record is from RNAcentral. Lineage: Eukaryota; Viridiplantae; Streptophyta; Magnoliopsida; Boraginales; Boraginaceae.